Molecule: long non-coding RNA, 1080 nt
Filed under: Malus domestica (apple)
Lineage: Eukaryota; Viridiplantae; Streptophyta; Magnoliopsida; Rosales; Rosaceae
Description: long non-coding RNA (MDOM_LNC009081)
Source: RNAcentral
CGAUAGGUCUGGGUAGAUUACAAGAAACCGAUUGAUAUUUUGGUUUCGUUGAAUGGUCCGGAACCCGAUGUGGUUGGAUUCCGUUGAGUGGUCCAGAAUCCUUACUCUUGCAUAUUUCCAAAAAGGUUAGUCUAGAACCCUAGAUUCGAGUGAAUGGGAAUUAUCCACAUUAAACCUUAUGAAUAUAAAUUAGAUUUGCCAUGUUGUUACUCAUAAUGCAAGUAGGGAAUUAUAUAGAGUUCUUUAAUUAAAUACGUGAAAUGAUAUGUUAUCGUAUUGAUUGAUUAACGUAGUUAAAUGCUAAGAUCAUCCAUCCUUGAUUCAUGAAUGGAUUAAUUGACGAGAUUGUGGAACGACAUUGGAUACGAUUAUUAUUAUUAUGAUUAUUUUAGUGAUCAAUGUGGCUUGAGAAUAAUAUUGUGCUUCAUUGGUUAUUGGAUAUGUUACAUGUUGUGGAUGGAGGUAUCAUGUUGAAAACAUAGUGAUUUAUGUGGUGGAUGGAAUGGAAACCUUAAAUGUCAUGUGGGUUUGUUAUGUAAACAUGAAUCUAGUAAUUCAUGCUUGUUAAGCUCUAAUAAUUGAUUAAGGAAUGUUAUUCUUUUCGAUUUGAACGUAUUGUGAUAAACGUCGAAGUGUAUUGAAUGGUGAACUACGAAUGGCUUGAAUCCUAUUGAUGGUACGUAUGCAGUCUAACGAGGAGGUUAGAUGCAACCAUAAAGUAUACGAAAAAUUACUAUGUGAUUCGAUUUUCGAGUUGUGAAUUGCAAUAUUCUAGAGGCAGGGUAUGUUUCAGAUAUGGGUAUUUAGCGACGUCACGUGUUGAUCUUGGACGCAUGUCGGGAUCGGGCAUGACAACAUAGCCAUGUGCACAGUGCGGAAGUGAUAGUGAUAUGACAAUGUGGGUAAAUAAAAACCGAACUAGCUACUUUACACUAGGUAAGUAUAUAAGUACGAGUGUAAGUAUUAGAGUGUAGGUAUACAUAAUCAGAGCGUAAAUACCAAAGUGCAGUCCAGCAGGCUAAAUACUAAAUUAUACAUGAUAUGAAAGAAAAUCCUACAUUGAUAGAUGUCUGUCAGAAC